AACGAGCGCAACCCUGCUAUCUGUUGCCAGCAAGUAAUGUUGGGGACGUCAGAUGGAACUGCCGGUGACAAACCGGAGGAAGGUGGGGACGGACGUCAAGUCAUCAUGGCCCUUAUGUCCUGGGCUACACACGUGCUACAAUGGCCGGUACAGAGCGCAGCGAAGCCGCGAGGCAAAGCGAAUCGCAAAAAGCCGGUCUCAGUACGGAUUGGAGUCUGAAACCCGACUCCAUGAAGUUGGAAUCGCUAGUAAUCGCGCAUCAGCAUGGCGCGGUGAAUACGUUCCCGGGCCUU
RNAcentral lists this ribosomal RNA (293 nucleotides) under uncultured Spirochaeta sp. RNAcentral describes it as "partial 16S ribosomal RNA". It matches the Rfam family "Bacterial small subunit ribosomal RNA", at positions 1091 to 1382 of the family's 1533-position model. The record is from RNAcentral. Lineage: Bacteria; Pseudomonadati; Spirochaetota; Spirochaetia; Spirochaetales; Spirochaetaceae.